RNAcentral lists this ribosomal RNA (318 nucleotides) under Tylos sp. clade E MM-2013. RNAcentral describes it as "partial 16S large subunit ribosomal RNA". It matches the Rfam family "Bacterial large subunit ribosomal RNA", at positions 1995 to 2541 of the family's 2925-position model. The record is from RNAcentral. Lineage: Eukaryota; Metazoa; Arthropoda; Malacostraca; Isopoda; Tylidae.
GAAGAUUUGACGAGAGAAGACCUGUCUCUGCUUAUUUUAAAAAAAUUAACCUGGAAGUUAAAAGGCUUCUAUUUCUUAGAGGGACGACAAGACCCUAUAAAGCUUUAUUUAUUAUAUUUUUAUAUACUUCAAGGAGACAAUACAAAUUUAUAAAUUUUAUUGGGGCGAUAAAUAAACAAACAUUAUUGGCCAUAACGUACUUAACGAAGUUUAUAAAACGUUUUUGAACUUACAACAAGUUACUUUAGGGAUAACAGCAUAAUUUCUUUCUAGAGUCCUUAUCGACAAAGAAGAUUAUGACCUCGAUGUUGAAUUGAG